RNAcentral lists this long non-coding RNA (34317 nucleotides) under Citrus x clementina. RNAcentral's name for it is "Citrus clementina (C. clementina) long non-coding RNA (CCLE_LNC005665)". The stretch from base 9198 to 9334 matches the Rfam family "Small nucleolar RNA Z247". The record is from RNAcentral. Lineage: Eukaryota; Viridiplantae; Streptophyta; Magnoliopsida; Sapindales; Rutaceae.
UAUUUAUUAUAUUCCAUCUUAAAUGAAGAUUCACUCGAAUCAUAUGCUUUACCUGAAACGACACUGAGAGCUGAAAUUGCUGGUCCAUAAUUACCUUGUUUAGGUAUGCAGCAGGUCCCUUUACCAGCCCAAAAUAGGUGAAUUUCGAGAUGGUUUUCUGACACAGUAGCACUGAAGUUUUUUAUAAUAGCUCUGUUAGGCCCUCCCGCCUCCUUUGAUAUGUCAAAAUCCUUCCACCGGAGAGUUCCCUAGAAGAUCGACAAUUAGAGAUAGAAUUAUUAUUUCUCAAUGCAUAAAAAGAGAGAGAGAGAGAGAGAGAUUGUAAUCUCGGAAUCACAUGAUCUCCAGCUCCAAAUUUUUGGUUCAGGGCAUUUGUUUACCUGAACAUAGAUAUCAAAAACACGCCUUCCACGACUCUCCCACCUUUCUGUGCUUGGAUCAGGAAAAUUUGUUUCUGCGAAUAACAAGCUUACAUUAUAAGGUCCAUUCACAAGACCCAGGCCAUAGUAUCUAAGUGAUCCGGCGGAUAUCCUUGACGUCUGAUAAAGCUUUGGAGUCCGGGUGCCCGUCACUUGAUCUUGAGUGUUUAGCACAUAAGAUGCAUUUUCUCUUCCAUUAAACAGACCCACUUUACUAACUGCCCAUUUUUCUGUAUUGGUCACAACAAAGGCCGAUGCGCCAAGAUAUGAGUUAUCACCCUCAUACACUAUGUUAUCAGCUCUCAUUUCUGGACUAGCACAUUUGAUUGAGAAGUUUGCAUCUGCAAAUGCAAAGACAAAAAUCGCUAGCUAUUUUCAGAUUGAAUUCCGACAUCAAAUUUCAACAAUUUUUUUGCAUAAAGGUCAAUAACUGGGUAAUAGGAAAUCAUUCAGGCAGUGUUUUUUUUAUUUACACAUCCAGCACGUUACAAAUAUUUUUCAAUUCUCAUCACAUGGAAACUCACUUUAUCACAUCAAAGCUUUUUAAAGCCAAGAUGGCUUAAUACACCAAAUUUACAAUGUAACUACUCUACAAUUUCGACUGACAGUGGUAACAAAAAUUAUCCCCACUUGCAACAAAGCUACCUGAAGUCAUAUUUAAAACUUCUGUACUACUUCCUGCUCUUAUUAAAGUUUUUUCCUCAGCAAUUCAGAAGUAUAGUUAGACAGGCGUUCUUUCUUCUUAAGUGUGGAGCCACAAUAGCUUAUGAAAAUAUGAAACUGCAAACAGCACAGAGAAGGCAGCUUACAUUGUGGAGCAUUUCUAUUGCAUGUGAAGUUCCUCUGAAGACAGUUCAAUCCUGGAAAGACACUGGCAAGCACAGAGAACAAUUAGUUCACAUUAUCUGUUAACAUGAUUAAAAGAAAAGUAAAGGACCAAAACUCACCUUAUGUUUGAUAUGUCAAAUUUGAAGUUGUUCACUGCCAGAUUCCUAUACAGUUCCAUGCAAUGCAUUAAUUGUAAAAUUUUUGGACAGAGAUGCAAGGGCAGGAGACUUCAUGAAAUUCUCAUACAACUGUUAUAGUAGAAUGAUAAAAGUAAAGAAACUAGGACCAUUGGUUUAGUAUGAGCAAUAAGCUUGACAAGGUCUGAACUCCAGCACAAAGAGGCAAUUCUAGAAAAUGAAGAUGAACGGAGCAUUAUCAUAGUUUAAGAGACAUACAUUUGUAAUUCUGAAUUCACCCACAAUGGAAAAGUUCCUGAUAGAUGAUUAUGAGAUAAAUCUCUGCAGGAAAAAUUUUGUUAAGCACUAGUAAACAAGUUCAAACAUGUGAACCAACGUAUAUAUAUGUUAGACAAAUAAAAAACCUGGCUGAGUAUAUUGUUUUGUUGCCAGAGAAAGAAGCCAGAAGUCACAGCUGAUGCAUGCAUGGAAGAUGAUAAUCACUGGCCUAAAUCUAAAACACUUUCAAAUCGAAACAUGCAACGUAUAUUCUCAUGGUUUGAAUUGCAAGUACUGAGGAGAAAAUCAGUGUUUAUCUGUGGGUAUAAGGGCACAUUGAGGAGCAAGCAUAGGGAUGAAUUUCUAGAAUUUUUCUUUCAAUAAAUCAGAAAGCUGAACCAAAGCUUACAUUUUUUGAAGGUUUUCACUUUUUUGAUCAGGAAGUGUUCCUGACAAACUAUUGUUUCCAAGAAACCUGGCCAUUGAAAGCAGCGUAAGCAGCAUUGGCAAUAACAAAACAAUGACCAAAGUCCAAAAGUAAAAAUCUUGAAUUGAUGAAGGAAAGCUUCAAAGAAUUUACAAGUAUUCAAGAGAAUCGAUAUUGAACAAAGUUGCUGGGAUUUGGCCUGUUAAGUUGUUGAAACUCAAGUCCCUGCAAAAUAUAGAUAAAAAUUUUGGGAAAAAUAUAUAUCAAAAUGAGAAAAGGAAAGUGGCACUAUAUAAUUUAUUUCUUAAUAUCAACUUACAAUAUCUGUAACAUUUGAAGCUCUCCAAUUCCAGAUGGAAUAGUACCAGUGAUCAGAGCAUUUCUUAGGGACCUAUGGAGUAGAAGAACAAAAAACCAACUCAUAACUAAUCAGAGUCAAAAUGAGAAGGCUGCCAAACACAAUGAAAUAUAUAGGCAGUAUACUUACAAGUCAUUUAAGUUCUUCAAACUCAUAACGAAAUCAAGAGAUGAACUCACGUUAUAUAUAUCGCCCAUUUGUCUAAACAAUCAAUUCAAACAUCACGGAUAUGAUUCAUGCUUCCAAAGAGAGAAUGAGAGACCAAGAGAUUGUCAGGAAAAGAUUUACUCACAAGGAUUCUAAUGAAGCCAACUUAGACAAACUGGAUGGGAUAGGACCUUGAAAAGAAUUCCCCUGAAAUCUCCUACAGCAACAUUUUGACAAACAUGUUAGGAAAACUAUCAGAAGCCAAGCAAAAUCUUUAAUGCGCUACACAGAACACAGAUAAUGUAUAUAGUCAAGGAGUUAUACGAAGCAUACAAGGACUUAAGCUUAGUCCAAUUGCCAAUGAAGUCUGGUAUUUUGCCUGUAAAAGGAUUAUCUGAUGCCCACCUGAAAUUUAACAAAUUAAUCAAUUUAGGCAGCACAAUCUUUAUGCCGGAGAGAAACAAAAUGUCAUAUGUAAAAAACUUUGCUUACAGAGUUUGCAUAUUGCGAAGUUUAGCAAAUGUGGAGGGAAUUUCACCACCGGCCCCACAACUGUCUAUGUAACUGUUGAAUUUAUCAAUUGAAAAUUACUUUGUUUCAUAAACCUGCAGCUUUGCUAAAUUGAAAAAAAAAAUGAUAAUGAUCAAAUAUGUAAAAAGAAAGAAAGAAAUUUAGAAACUACAGUUGCUCAAGUUUGGCUAAGUUGCCAAGUUCUGGAGGGAGCGCUCCUGAGAAAUUGUUGGUACCAAAAGCACUGCAAUUUGAAAUUAAAAUUUUUACACUGAUUUAAAAGAAGAAGAAGAAGAAUAAAAAUAAAAAUGAAAUUCCAAUCUUACAGAACAGUUAACUCCUUAAGGUUUCCCAGCUCCCUGGGGACAGGCCCCGAGAAGUCAUUGUGGGAAAAUGACCUGUACACAAAAAUAUAACACUCCGUUACACAACACACAAAGAAUAAAGAAUUUGCAGCCUAAUCCAAAAAUCAAAUCAGAGAAUAUUAGAAAAAGCCAAUUUCAAUACUUACAGAAACAUCAAUCGAGACAAAUUUCCAAUAAAUGAAGGCAAGGGGCCAGUGAAGAAAUUUUGAUCAAUUUUCCUACAAAAUUCAAAGAGAAAUUGUUAAUCAUGUUGAUUACAUAAAUUUGAUUUAUACAUACAAACUGAAGGACAGAUAAUAUAUAUAAGUGACAAAUCCAUACAGAACUGUCAGGUAUUGCAAAGUUACUAGCUCUUCAGGAAUCACCCCUUUUUUGUUUAGUCCAUAUACUCUCCUGUGAAAAAAAAAAAACAAACCAUUAGAUUGCAGAUGCAUCAACCAUUUUAGAAAUUAAUAUUAAUUAACAAGCGCAGAGAUAUACUAAGAGAGCAUUACAGUUUAGUAAUGUGGCAAGUAGCACCAUUGUCAAAGGUGCAGUUACAAACAAUAGCAGGAUUGUUAUUUGGGCUCUCAAAUUCAGAAUCAGUUGCAUUGAGUGCAGAUCCACUGCAUGGGUUUCCACUUAUGUUCCAUAAUGGCGCGGCCGGUGCAUCCCAUUGCUGCAGUAUUGAGUUCAGUGCCCUCACUGCUCAUCAAACACAUGCAUGCUAGUUUGUUACCAAAUGAGAUCAUUUAAUUCCAUAAAUUCAUUAACAUAUUGUGAUGCACCUGCAUGCUUGUAAGCCAAACGCCGCUGAUUUUCAAAAGCAACAGCAAGCUGUUUGUUUUAGAGUGCAUUUGGGAUUGAGAUUCGACAGCUGUAACUUAAAAGUUAUAGUAUUUAAGUGUUUAAUAAAUACUAACUGCUGUAUCUUUUAAGCUAUUUUGAUAUGAUUUUUCACUUAUAUAAUGAAAAAUAUAUUAUAUCUUAAUAAUUUUAUCAAAAUUAUUAUUUAAAAAUUAUAUUCAUUAUAUAUUAUUAAUUUUUAUUUUAUAAUUAUAAUUUUUUUUCCACAACAACUGAAGUUUAAAAGCUGCAGCACCUCAAUCCCAAAUAGACUCUUAAUUAGAGCACACGCAUACUUCACAUGCGUGCUUGCCGUGCAUGCUUAUAUACGGUGGGCACAUAUAAAGUGAAGAAUUGAAGCAGCUCUCACCAUUUUCAUAAUCGAACCAUAAAAAACAAUUGGAAGAUAGAAGAAAUUGAAAGAAAACGAGAGAAAGAAAGAAAAGAAAAGAAAAGAAGAGAUAAAAUAGAAAGAAGAAAAUAUAAGGAGAAAAGAAAUUAAGAAGCCAAGAGUGAAAAUCAAGUAAUAAUGAAAGCUAAUACGGGAAAGUUGAGGGGACAUGGAAUUCAACAGUUAGAUUUAUAUUUCGAGAAUUAGUGGAUAAUGGAUUUAGAAAGUAUGAACAGUUAUGUUAUAAUUUUUAGCAUACUUUUGAGUUUUUAUAUCAGUCGUUAAUUUUUUAUAGUAGUUUUUUAGUCUAAAAUUUUAAAGUGUGGAAAAGGUUUGAAAUUUUUUUUAAAUUACACAUCUUUAAAGAAUUAUGAAAUUAACACUUUAAUACUGUAGGAUUUAAAAGAUUUAUUGGACUUUCUCGCACUUUAAAAUUUAAAAUUAGAAAAUUUCUAUAAUUUUUGAAUCUUGUGUUUAAAAGAAAUUUAAGUUCUUAGGAAUUAACAAAAGCCCCACAAAACAAAACAGUAAUUGAGUCAGGAUUUGUGAGAUGAUUUAAUAGUAUGAUUUAGUAGUAUAUCAUGAUUAUAUGUAUGCUCAUUAUAUGAGUGAUUGAAUCCCUAAAUGUGAUUGCCAAGCACCAUAUGUGUACUCUUCUUGUUAAGUACUUUGCGUAUACAUAUUGAGAGUUAGAGUACUAUACCUGUGUGAUGAAGUUAAAUUCCGUUGGAUAUUAAGAGGUUAUUCCUCACUAUAUUCACGCAAUGAUAAUCCCGACGAGUGCGACAAUUAUUUCCCCUGGGUAUUAUUUAGUGCAUUUUUCUCAUGUAUGAUUUUAUGUUUUCUUAUGUAUUAUGUUCAGUGUAGAAUUAUGUCAUAUGAUUGUGUAUAAUUAUUAGUGCACUACUUUAUUUUAAUAUAUAUAAUUGUAUCUACUCAUUGAACUGCAAGUUCACCAUUUUCUUAUUUAUCCAAAUUUUUCUAGGUUUUCGCAGGGUUUCAUACAGUUCAUUUUCCAAUUAGUUGAGGUUGGACCACGACGUGCAGUGCUGCAUGACUUGCAUUUUAAGCACGUUUAUGCUCAUAUGUAUAUAUUUAAGAUAUAUGCAUAUAUAGUAAGAUGUGAAGUGUGCAAAUUUCAAAUAUGCUUUUGAAUAAGGUAUAGAUGUUAUUAUAUAUUUUAACGUGAUGUAGUCGUUCUUUAGUGUGGGUGCCAUUUUUUUAUGCGGCAUGCUUUUAAACCAUGGUAUUUAAGAGAGUUAUGUUUUUUUUACUCUUUUAAGCCAUACGGUUUAAAAACGUGAUAUGCAUUAAAAAAAAAAAAAAAAGAGGGCGCUUGCACCUGAGAAUCAUUUUCAGGUUCGAGUACUUUUUUUUUUUUAAUGUGAACACACUGCUAAACCGUGCGAUUUAGUAGCGUGUCUAGAGUUGACAAAAACACGGCCUUGAAGUCUGGUCGACAUGAGUUGGGCCUGAAUAUGGGUUGAAAAAUAUAAAGUCGACACAAAUUGGAUCUAAAUAAGGGCCUAGCUUUUUAAUUUAUACAAAAAAAAAUUAAAUUUAAAUAAAAAACUCAAAAUAUUAAAUUAAUAUUUUUUUCAUAUUAGUAUUUGUGAUUUAUUAUGUUGUGUUAUUUUGUGUAUUAGACUAUUAUUCUAUUAUCUAUUGGAUAAUUAUUUUUUAUUUAAAUAUUUUUUAUUUUAUUAAAAAAUUAUUUUAUAUUUAAUGGAACAAGCCCAAGUCUGGCUCAAGGCCUGUCCAUCCAAACUUGGACUUAUCUAGGCUUGUUGUCUACAAUAUGGACAUGGGCUCAGGCUUGGAAAAAACUUAAAUAAGUCCAUAUUUUGCCAACCUAAACGUGUUUGUAUUGACUCUAUUAAAUUGCACAAUUUAACAAUGCAUUCGUAUGAAAAAAAAAAAGAGCUCACACAUUAGAGAAUGGCUAUAUAUGUACACUUUAGAGUUAAUGCACUUUAGAUAUGAUUAUAUAUAAAAUCAAUAUCUGUUUUUUUUUUAUUAUUAAUUAAAGAGUGAAUACGUACAACAAAUUUUAAAUUAGAAGAUUUUGAAUUCCCUCGUGUACGAUGUAAAAGUAUAAACACAGUUAACAAAUUUGAUAAAAAUUAAAUUAAGAGUUUCUAGCAAAGAAUGCCAAAAUUCAGUCCUGCCUCUAAAUUAAUUAAGUUAUCGCCUUUUUUUUUUUUUGGCCCUUUUGCGGUGGGGGUGGUGGCGUAUGGAAUGAACAUUUAUAUCGUACUGUUUGGGAUAUAAUUUGGAAGGUUUAGGAUCACUCUUUUUCAGAACGUUUCAACUCAUUUAUUAAGAAGGAUCCACAUGCUUGACUAAUAGGGGCUUGAAACCAGGCAGCGAAGAUAGUCCUUAAUUAUUGUAUGUAUCUAUGAUAUAUCUCAAUGUGAAAAUUUCAAUUAUUAUAAUUAUUAUAUUGAAAAAAAAAAGUGGUCCCAUUAGAUGAAGAAAUUAUUGAAGUUAAAUAGUUAAAGGUCUUUAUAUAUGUAGCCUCGUUUGUUUGAAGUCUAAAGAGAUAAUAAUGUGAAAUAUAUGAUUUAGGAAAAUAAAUUGGAAUUGCACAACUACUUUCACUUUUUGGAAACAGAAAAAGUCCACGAUUUUUUUUUUAGGAAUUUUAGGACUCAGAAUUAUAUAAAUAUAAAAUUUUAGAAAGUUAAUUAAUAUAAAAGCUCACUGUGCAUAUAAAGUUAAUUGUUUUCAGAAAAGAACCAAGCUACUACACAUACACAUAAUUAAUUUAUGUCAAAUUAAACAAAGAAAAGAAAAAAGAAAAAGAAAAGAAAAGAAAACGGCGGGCGGUGGCUGGCUAGCAAGAGAAUUAAUUAACGAGGAGAAAUUAAAUGUGUUAAAGAAAAUGGAUAUAUAUACCUUCAGCAGGGUCGGUCGUAGCAUUGGUGUUAUGUUGAGCGUUGGAUAAACAAAUUAGCAGGAAGAGAUGAGCGAAUAGUAGUGAGGAAGAAAGCAGCAGCUUCAACGAUCCCACUCCAAAAUUCAUCUUCAUUUCUCGUUACAAUUUACAAACCCAGAAUAAGGAGAAUUUAAUGCUAAUUUUUGAAUCUAUAGUUUUGUUAAAGUUAAAGAAUAUGUAGAAGAAGAAGAAGCUGGCCAGAGUCAGUCAAUAUUUGUCUUUUUCUCCAGUGUCGUGCAAGCAUUUUAAGUCGUUCCAUCUAUCAAAGAAAAGUCGUUCAAAAACAAAAUAAAAAAUAAAAUAAAAUAAAAAUGUAUCAGAAUUGACCAAAUUCAACUCUCAUAUGUGCAUAAUAAAAACAAUAUAAUACAUUGCAUCUUAACCAAUACGAUGAAAUCUUAGUGUCUCUUUCCCACCCUCACCGGAUUAUUAUCAUCCACAGCACUUUUGCCGACGCAAACUCAACAUAAAAUUGUAUCAACAUAUUCAAUUUAGAAGAACGCAGAGUGUUACUCCCAGGGACACAGUACAUUUGUACACACCCACAGCAGAAGAGGGGGAAAACAAUAUCUGCACAUGCGGAAGAAGCAAAGCAAUGAAUUAAUCAGAGUCUAGACGUUGGCUGAAUUGUCGGGCUUGAAUUUAGUAGCAGCAGCAGCAGGAGGGGAUGGGUAAGUGAAUGUAGUAGCUUCACUGCCUGUGCCUGGCUGUCAAGGAAGCUCAUAUUUGCAAGAGCAGAGGAUCACAGCAGCAGCCACAUUCAGUUACGAGUUGAUGAUAUGGCAUGCCAGCUGGAGUCUGGUGGUUAUGUAAAUAGUUGUGCAUGUGUUAAUUAGCUUAAGCUGUUAUGAUUAGUUGUUAGAAUCAGUUAAUUAGCUGUAGCUAAUUACAACUAUCUAAGCUGAGCUUCAGCUUAGUAUAAAUAGCAACAGCAUUGUGUAUAUCAUUAAUAACAUGAUUAAUGAAAAUGAUGUUCUAGAAAACUCUUAGAUUCCGUUCUUAUUUUCUCAUUGAUUUUCUCAGUUGCCAAACAAUAUUUUCAUUCUUCAACUUGGUAUCAGAGCUAGUAGCAAUGGUUUCAGUCCAUCUAGUUUCUUUUUCUUCUCAAGCGCCAGUCAAUCACACAACUGUUAACUCAACAAAUGUGACAUUCACUUUCAAUACACCUAUUAAGCUAGAUCAAUCCAAUUAUUUGAUUUGGCGAUCUCGAGUUCUUGCUUUAAUUCGUGGCAACAGACUUGAGAAAUUCAUUGAUGACUCAACCACUCCACCUCCUUCACACAUUGCUCAAAGAAUUAGAGAUGAUCUGAGAUCUGUAGAGAAUCUAGACUUUGUAACUUGGAGAUCACAAGAUCAGGUGCUUCUUGGCUGGUUGCUUUCUUCAAUGAGUGAAGGUAUCAUUAGUCUAGUUUUCAAUCUAGAGACUUCUCAUGAGGUAUGGAAAGCUAUUGAAGUUCAAUUUGGAUCACAAUUUAAAUCUAGGCUUCUACACUUGAGAUAUAUGAUGAACUCAACUAGGAAAGAUGAUCUAAAAAUUACUGAUUAUUUCAUUAAGAUGAAAAAUAUUGUUGAUAAUAUGGCUGCAGCAGGAAAUGCAUUAAGUGAUGAUGAUUUAAUUCUGCAUAUACUCUUUGGCUUAGGUCCAGAUUAUAACUCUAUUGCUACCUACAUUACUGGACAAGUAAGAGUGAGGAAAAUGAAUGUAAACGAAGCUUAUGCUAUGCUCCUAACUCAAGAAGUUAGGAUUGAACAACAAACUCAUAUGCUGGCUAAUACAGAUGUGAAACAAAAUUUUGAGGCUAAUCUUGCUCACAACAGAGGUUAUAAAAGGGGAAAUAUGUCAGGAGGAAAAGGUUUUGGUGGCUUUGGAUAUAAUUCUGGCUAUGGAAACAUUAACAGUGCUGGCUAUAAAGGAGGUUAUGGAGGCUCUGGAUUUAAUGCUAACAGUGGAAAUGCUUAUGGCACCAAUCAUCAGUUCAAAGCUUAUCAAGGAGAUAAUCAGAGAGGUUGAGGAGGAGGUAACUGGAAUUAAAAUGCUUGAAAUAGUGGAUUUAACAAUAGUAGACCGCUUGGAAACAUUAAACCUCAGUGGAAUGUCUCUAAGCCAACCUGUCAAAUCUGUUUCAGAACAGGUCACACUGUUAAUAUUUGCUAGAAACUUGAAGAGUUUAUUGCAUCUGGAGCUUACAGACCACCACCAAACAGAAAUCCAAAAUCUACAUAUUUGGCUAAUAUGGAGGGACCUGCUGAUGCAAAUUAGUAUCUGGAUAGUGGUGCAACACACCAUCUGACAAAUGAUAUCAACAAUAUGCAUGUUUCUAAAGCUUUUGUAGGUACAUCUAAACUUUUUGUUGGCAAUGGUGCUGGAUUAAAUAUAACACACAUUGGAAGUGCUGCAUCGAAAUCAUAUAACUCCAAUAAUGCCUCCUUUAACUCUUAAACUAAAUGAUAUCCUUUUAGUGCCACAAAUUACUAAAAACCUCAUUAGCAUCUCUAAGCUCACAAAAGAUAAUGACGUUGUGAUAGAGUUUACUGAUAACUUUUGUUUUGUGAAGGACAAGGUGAGGAAUUUGAUCAUACUGCAGGGCAAGGCUGAAAAAUAUUUAUACAAAUUGCUAUUGGUUGCAUCUAAUAAGAUAGUCUCUUCUACUUCUAAUCAAAGCUAUGUUGUGGAGUUAAUUGUAUCAACUACUCCUCUUUCAAUGUUUUCAGUUGUCAAUUCUACUAUUUCAAAUAACACCUCUUGCCUGUAUACUGCAGCAACUUCUUGUAAAAAUUGAGUGUUUGUUAAGUACAUCUGUACUGCAUCAAAGAUUGGGAUAUCUAUCUUCUAAGAUCUUGAAUCAUGUAAUCAAAUCAUGUUCAUCUCUCAAUCUUGUCAAUAAGAAUAAAACCUUUUAUUUAUGUGAUGCUUGUAAAAUAGGAAAAAUGCACAAGCUUCAUUUUCCAGCUACUGAUAUCAAAACAAAGUCUCCCCUGGAAAUAUUACAUACUGAUUUAUGGGGACCAGUCCCUGUGAUUUCAUUACAAGGCUACGUAUAUUAUGUAAGCUUUAUUGAUGAUUUCACAAGAUUUACUUGGAUAUUUCCUUUGAAAACCAAAAGUAAAACAUUGUCAGUCUAUAAAAUUUUCAAAAACCAAAUUGAAAAACAACUUGACAGACCUAUAAAAUGUCUUCAAUCAUACCGGGGUGGAGAAUUUAGAUCCUUUGUUAACUUUCUUCACACUGAGGGAAUUCACUUUAGACAUUUAUGUUCAUAUACUCAUAACCAAAAUGGAAUUGUAGAGAGAAAUCAUAGACAUAUUACCAAACUUAGUCUUACUCUACUUGCACAAGCAACUUUACCUAUUAAAUUCUAGUGGGAUUCUUUCCAUACAGCCACAUACAUCAUAAACAGAUUACCCACCCCAAUUCUAUCAAUGAAAUCUCCUUAUGAAUCUAUCUAUCAUCUUCCUCCAGAUUACAAAUUCUUAAGAACAUCUGGAUGUUCAUGUUUUCCCUUUCUUAGAAACUACAAUCAACACAAGUUUCACUCUCAUACAUCUAAAUGUAUUUUCCUGGGGUAUAGUCAUUUGCAUAAGGGUUACAAAUGUGUCAAUCCCUCUGGUAAAAUCUAUAUAGCUAGUCAUGUUAUUUUUUUAUGAAACCUCAUUUCCAUAUUCAUAUAUUUUCAGCUCAUAUUCUCCAUCCAAAUCUUCUGAAUUUCAAUACAAUCUUCUUCAACAGUAUAUUAUUCAUGUUUCCAAUAGCAAUUUAAACACCUUUGAAGUCGAUACUGUAGAUAAUGAUACAUAUUCUCAUCACCUUCAUACCAUAUCUUCACCACUCUUUCACAAUACAUCAUCUCAACCCUCACCACCUGCUACUUUAUCCCAUUCAGCCAUAACUUCUUAACCAACUCAACCAAUUCCCUUUAUACCUCUAACUGAUACAACACAAAAUACAUCAUCCUUACAACCCAUCAUAUCUCACUCUCAAAUUCAACCAACACACUUAUCUAAACCUAAACCAAUUCUCUCCACACAUAAAAUGAUCACUAGAGCAUAAGCUGAGAUAUUCAAACCGAAAGCCUACUUAACAAAUCACAACAGCCCGGAACCAUCUACUGUUUCAGAAGCAUUAUCUGAUCCCAAACGGAAAGCAGCAAUGCAAACUGAAUAUAAUGAUAUGAUUAAAAACAAAACUUGGAAUCUUGUGGCUUUGUGCUCAACCUAUAAACUAGUUGGGUGCAAAUGGGUGUUCAGAACCAAGUACAACAUAUAUGGCUCAGUUUCAAAAUAUAAAGCUAGGUUGGUAGCCAAGGGAUUUCAUCAAACUGCAUGUAUUGAUUAUUCAGAAACAUUCAAUCUUGUAAUGAAGUCCUCAACAAUGAGAUUAAUUCUUAGCCUAGCUGUCAUGAAAGGUUAGACAAAUUGAUGUCAAUAAUGCCUUUUAAAUGGGGAUUUGUCAGAGGAUGUGUAUAUGAUUCAGCUUGAGGGUUUUGUAUCCAAAGAAGGCUACAUAUUCAAGCUUAACAAGGUACUAUAUGGAUUGAAACAAGCUCCAAGAGCUUGGUAUGAUAAACUGAAAAGCUAUCUUACUACUUGAAAAUUCUUCAAUUCUAAAGCUGACACGUCUCUCUUUGUUGAACAUGAUGAAAAAGGCAUUAUUAUUGUCUUAAUCUAUGUUGAUGAUAUUUUGGUUACUGGCCCUGACUCAGCAUUACUUGAAGAUUUCAUUAUUAAACUCAGUAAGGUUUUUGCUCUCAAGGACUUAGGAUUAGUGGCCUAUUUUCUUGGAGUAGAAGUUUGUUACACAACUCAUGGAAUGCAUCUUUCACAGACAAAAUAUAUUAAGGAUUUGUUAAGUAAAGCCUCAAUGCAAAAUUGCAAAGGAUCAGAUACACCUUUUAGUACUGGUUUCAAACUGGAGAAAAAUGUUAAGGGUCCAUUGGGGCAAGAAUUUGAAGAACCAGCACUUUAUGGAAGCGUCAUUGGGGGACUUCAGUACUUAAUUCUCACCAGGCCUGACAUUGCAUAUUCUGUACAUAAACUCAGCCAGUAUCUUAGCAAUCUUACACUCCAGCACUGGUUAGCAUGCAAGAAAGUUCUCAGGUAUCUUCAAGCUACAACCACUCAUGGUUUAUACAUUCAAAAUGAGGGAACACUUGGAAUUGCAGGUCUAACAGGUUACUCUGAUGCUAACUUGGCACGUGAUGUUGAUGAUAAAAAAUCUAUUGGAGCUUACUGUAUUUACCUUGGUAAUAAUCUGAUUUCCUGGUCAUCAAAAAAGCAAGUUAUUGCAGCUAAGUCCAGCACAAAGAGUGAAUACAGGGCACUAUCUUCAGCAAGUUCAGAACUCUCUUGGUUGCAAUCCCUACUAUCAGAGCUUAAUAUUGUGCAAUUACCAACUCCAAUUCUUUGGUGUGACAAUCAGAGUGCUGGAGAAUUAGCCCGAAAUCAUAUUCUUCACUCUAAAUCUAAACACAUUGAAUUGGGUGUUCAUUACAUUAGAGACAAAGCGCUUGGAAAAGAAUUAGAAGUAAAAUACAUUCCUACUGAAGAACAAGUUGUUGAUGUCCUUACUAAAGCUCUGUCAUUUAUCAAGGUUUACUACUUUUGAUUCAAGCUCAAUGUCAUCAACAGGCCAUUGAGCUUGAGGGGGGGAUGUUAAGGAAGCUCAUAUUGCAAGAUGGUCAGCAGAGCAGAGGAUCACAGCAGCAGCCAUAUUCAGUUACGAGUUGAUGACAUGGCAUGCCAGCUAGAGCCUGGUGGUUAUGUAAAUAGUUGUGCAUGUGUUAAUUAGCUUAAGCUGUUAUGAUUAGUUGCUAGAAUUAGUUAAUUAGCUGUAGCUAAUUACAACUAUCUGAGUUGAGCUUCAACUUAGUAUAAAUAGCAACAGCAUUGUACAUAUUAUUAAUAACGUGAUUAAUGAAAAUGAUGUUCUAGAACACCCUUAGAUUCAGUUCUAAUUUUCUCACUGAUUUUCUCUGUUGCCAAACAAUAUUUUCGUUCUUCAACUCUGGCGGAGGCGUUGGCACCCCAAAAACUUGUGGAUUGGUUCUGAUAUCUUGUCUUCCUCUAGCUCUUCCCAAGUAAAAGCACCCAAAUCCAAGCAAUAGGCUGAACAACAUCAACGGAAUGAUAUCACCACCACCAUACCCAUCUUUAUUUGAUUUGAUGAUCAGAAAUCGCAGCAGAAGAGAGGUUUAUAUAAGAAUAAGAGAAUGAGAGAGAGCUAUGAAUGAACUAUGAUGAUGAUGAUGACGAUGAUACGGAGGUUUCGGAUUCUCUCUUCUUUUAAGAACAUGUUUCUUUCUUAACGGUUGGCUUAACGUUCAAGCUCUAACGGUUACUUUUAUUGUUGGGCCAGUUAAAUAAUUCUCCUAAUACAAAACAACGUUAAAUAAAUAUUGAGAUGGCUAUUCAUCCCGCAAUUAUAAAGGUAUAGUAUUUUGUUCAUUCUUGUUUAAAAAAAAAAAAAAGACUCUAUAGAGUUCAAUGUAUGGAGCCUUCUCAUGGUGUUCGGAUUCAACAUGUGCCAAAGUCCUCUAAUCAGCCGACCCAUUUUCUAUCUAAACUAACUUUUAACUGAAAGCUAUGAUUUCAUAAUUUUUAAACCAGUGUACUGGAAAAUGAAGCGAAAAAGAAGAUGGAAAGAUGAAGAAUAAUAAUACAACAUGCUUGUUACCUCAAUACAUUAAUAAGGGUAAUUAACGGUCUACAAAUACAUUUUGUUUAUUAUUUUGAGGACUUGUUUCAUUUUAUUUACGUGCAUUGAUGUCUUCCCAAAAUCAGAAGUUUUUAAUGAACUUCGACAAUGUUGCCUGCCACUCGUAGUCAUAGAACAGUAUUUCGUGCUGCACAUAUGCAUGUACUGUAAUUGCUAGAAAUAGCUCGACGGGAGAAAUUUAAGGCACCAUAAGAAGCAGAUCAUUCCACCACCACAAGGCUGCUUUUGUUUCAGAAACUGUCAAAUAGUAAGAUCACAGCCGCGACGCGACAAAAAUAUUUCUCACCUCCCUUCUGCUAUAAUAUCACUUAGCUGUGUGACAUUUACUGGGGAGACUAAUGCAUUAGUUCCUUCACUAUGAUCAUCAACUGGAUUUUCUCUUUCGCUUUUCUCCUUGCUGUUACUUCUUUUAUUAGAUGAUGAAGGCGUUGGCGUGUCUUCGUUCAAAAAGCUUGCUGUUAUAUCUUUAAAAUCCCAAUCUGUCAAAUAACUUGGCCUUGAAAUAACUGUGCCAACUUCUACAUCCCCAGCAAGCAUGGCCACAACGCGUGACAUUGGUGGCCUCAUCAUUGGUGAUGCUUGAGUGCACAAGAGAGCUACUCCUAUCACCCGAAGAGCUUCCUUGUCGUUAAACUCUGUUAAUGUAGGAUCUACAAGCCCCAAACUUUGAUUAUUUUCAUGGAGAUUCCAAGCCUAGAAACGUCAUAUAGACAAUAAUUCAGAUGAAGAUUGAAAGAAUUAAGUUUCUUUAACCAGAAGAAUGCAGAGAUAAGAAAGAAAAGGAAGCAGAAUGAAGUUCAAGAUUAUUUUCUUCACCCAUUCGAGAAGAUAAAUCUUUUCCGUAUCCAAACUGUUGUCAGAGUUUGCUCUUCCACUUAUCAUCUCCAACGCAACAACGCCAAAACUGAAAACAUCGGCCUUCUCUGUCAAGUGUCCGCGCAUUGCAUACUCCGGUGCCAAAUAUCCACUACAAGCUCAAUAGUUACUGAUCAAAAUCUCCAAACUCCAUUGUGUCCAAAAAUUGAAAGAUAAGGCGUGUGUGGAAUUAUCAUUUUUGGAAGAAUGGAAUGAAGAAAUGUUGAAGGAGAUUACAUGGUCCCUGCAACUCUUGUGCUGAUGUGGGUUUUCUUGUCAUCAAACAGCUUUGCCAAUCCAAAAUCUGAUAUCUUGGGGCAGAGCUCUGCAUCAAGUAAAAUAUUACUUGCUUUGACAUCUCGAUGUACAAUCCUAGGCCUGGAUUCUUCGUGAAGAUAAGCCAGCCCUCUUGCUGUUCCCAAGCAUAUACUGAACCUGGUAGGCCAAUCCAGACGCAAUUCAUGGUCUCCUGCAGAAAUGUCGGCUGCAGUGGUUAGAAAUUUAUGGAGUUACAGAAGGGCAAAUUGAUAAUUCUAGGGUAAUUUAUCUGCAUGAGGUCUCACUGAGACAUUGUCAAUCAGCUUUAGGAUAGUGAUUGUGGCUAAUUUGCUGUUAUUGACAUUGUCUAAACAACAGAUUUUGGAUUUAAGAUUACAAAAUAGAUCAUGCAAUUUCCAAAAGUCAGUGACUCAGCACUUUCUUCUUUGAAUUCUUUGCCUCAGCAACCAAGUUAAAACACGGCGUUUGCGCUAUUUUCUACUAAUUAGUAGUAAGAAUGAAUUGAUUAUCAUACAGUAAGAAUGAAUUGAUAAUCAUACCGAACAAUACUUGAUCGAGGCUUUUGUUUUCAAGAUACUCAUAAACAAGGAGGCGCCUGGCUCCUUCAAUGCAGCAUCCAUACAAUCUCACAAGAUUGCGAUGUUGCACUGCAGAUAUGGUAGCAAUCUCAUUUACAAAUUGAUUCUUCCCUUGGUGAGAUGCUAUUGAAAGUUGCUUCACAGCUAUUACUCUCCCAUCAGAUAGAGUACCCUGUCAAGUACAACAUUUGGCAAUUUGAAAACAUAUCGACUACAUCCUAGUGAAAAUUGCUUUGUUGUCUAGUUGCAAUGACAGGCUAUGAUCACCCAUUACAAGUACUGGAUGGCAACGCUAGGAUGAAAGAAAACUAUCAAUUGGCUGAAAUCUUAAUAUGUAUAGUUACCUUGUACACAGGUCCAUAUCCUCCCUCUCCAAGCUUGUUUGAAGGGUCAAAGUCUUUUGUUGCAGAUCUCAACUCAGCAUAGCUGAAAAUGUUUGGUUUAGAGCCUAUCCCAACUAGCACUGCAGGUUCAACCAAGACAAAAAUUAUGGACAGAGUAUAGGAUGGGAUACCAUAACUGUUCGUGAAUAUCAAAAUUACAAAAUAAUGAAGGACUUAUAUUACAAAAGAUGAAUUAAGCAGAACAUUUACCAAUAUGGAAUUACAAAUUCAUUGAGUUUCAUGAACAAGCUUGCGAAACUACUAUUACAUAUUGUAAAAUUGUCAAUGGACUCUUCUUACCUUCCUCAUCAUCGUUGUCUUUUUCUCUCCGCAUGUAGAACACUAUAGAUAUCACUACCGAUCCUAAAAUUCCGAGAGGGACUGCAAUACCAACAAUCAAACCUGUGUGACUCUUCUUCCCUGGAGUACUUGGGGGUAAUCCACUUGCAGUUGGUGGGAAAGCUGAGCAGAAAAAACUCAGUUAUUACCAGCUGGAAGAGGCAUAUAAGCCAUUUUAUUUAUUAUAUUCCAUCUUAAAUGAAGAUUCACUCGAAUCAUAUGCUUUACCUGAAACAACACUGAGAGCUGAAAUUGCUGGUCCAUAAUUACCUUGUUCAGGUAUGCAGCAGGUCCCUUUACCAGCCCAAAAUAGGUGAAUUUCGAGAUGGUUUUCUGACACAGUAGCACUGAAGUUUUUUAUAAUAGCUCUGUUAGGCCCUCCCGCCUCCUUUGAUAUGUCAAAAUCCUUCCACUGGAGACGUCCCUAGAAGAUAGACAAUUAGAGAUAGAAUUAUUAUUUCUCAAUGCAUAAAGAGAGAGAGAGAGAGAGAGAGAGAGUUGUAAUUUCGGAAUCACAUGAUCUCCAGCUCCAAAUUUUGGUUCAGGGCAUAUGUUCACCUGAACAUAGAUAUCAAAAACACGCCUUCCAAGACUCUCCCACCUUUCUGUGCUUGGAUCAGGAAAAUUUGUUUCUGCAAAUAACAAGCUUACAUUAUAAGGUCCAUUCACAAGACCCAGGCCAUAGUAUCUAAGUGAUCCGGCAGAUAUCCUUGACGUCUGAUAAAGCUCUGGGGUCCUGGUGCCAGUCACUUGUGCUAGAGUGUUUAGCACAUACGCUGGAUUUUCUCUUUCAUUAAACAAACCCACUUUACUAACUGCCCAUUUUUCUGUAUUGGUCACAACAAAGGCCGAUGCGCCAAGAUAUGAGUUAUCACCCUCAUACACUAUGUUAUCAGCUCUCAUUUCUGGACUACCACAUUUGAUUGAGAAGUUUGCAUCUGCAAAUGCAAAGACAAAAAUUUCUAGCUAUUUUCAGAUUGAAUUCCGACAUCAAAAUUUCACCAACAUUUUUGCAUAAAAGUCAAUAACUGGGUAAAGAGAAAUCAUUCAGGCAAUUUUUUUUUUUUUUUUUAAUUACACAUCCGGCACUCUACAAAUAUUUUUCAAUUCUCAUCACAUGCGAACUCUCUUUAUCACAUCAAAGCUUUUUAAAGCUAAGAUGGCUUAAUACACCAAAUUUAUAAUGUAACUACUCUACAAUUUCGACUGACAGUGGUAACAAAAAUUGUCCCCACUUGCAACACAGCUACCUGAAGUCAUAUUUAAAACUUCUGUACUACUUCUUGCUCUUUUUUUCCUCCGCAAUUCAGAAGUAUGGUUAGACAAGCGUUCUUUCUUCUAAAUGUGAAACUACAAUAACUUAUAAAAAUAUGAUACUGCAAACAGCAGACAGAAGGCAGCUUACAUUGUGGAGCAUUUCUAUUGCACGGGAAGUUCCUCUGAAGACAGCUCAAUCCUGGAAAGACACUGGCAAGCACAGAGAACAAUUAGUUCACAUUAUCUGUUAGCAUGAUUAAAAGAAAAGUAAAGGACCAAAACUCACCUUAUGUUUGAUAUGUCAAAUUUGAAGUUGUUCACUGCCAGAUUCCUAUACAGUUCUAUGCAAUGCAUUAAUUGUAAAAUUUUUGGACAGAGAUGCAAGGGCAACAGACUUCAUGAAAUUCUCAUACAACUGUUAUAGUUAAAUGAUAAAAGUAAAGAAACUAGGACCAUUGGUUUAGUAUGAGCAAUAAGCUUGACAAACUCUGAACUCAAGCACAAAGAGGCAAUUCUAGAAAAUGAAGACGAACGGAGCAUUAUCAUAUUUUAAGAGACAUACAUUUGUAGUUCUGAAGUUGCCCACGAUGGAAAAGUUCCUGAUAGAUGAUUAUGAGAUAAAUCUCUGCAGGAAACAUUUUGUUAAGCACCAGUAAAUGAGUUCGAACAUGUGAACCAACCAACAUAUACAUAUGUUAGACAAGUAAAAAAUCUGGCUGAGUAUAUUGAUUGGUUGCCAGAGAAAGAGGCCAAAAGUCACAACUGAUGCACGCAUGGAAGAUGAAAAUCACUGGCCUAAAUCUAAAACACUUUCAAAUCGAAACAUGCAAUGUAUAUUCUCAUGGUUUGAAUUGCAAGUACAGAAGAGAAAAUCAGUGUUUAUGUCUGGAUAUAAGGGCACAUUGAGGAACAAGCAUAGGGAUGAAUUUCUAGAAUUUUUCGUUAAAUAAAUCAGAAAGCUGAACCAAAGCUUACAUUUUUUGAAGUUUUUCACUUUUUUCAUCAGGAAGUGUUCCCGACAAACUAUUGUUUCCAAGAAACCUGGCCAUUGAAGCAGUAAAAGGAGCAUCAGCAAUAACAAAACAAUGACCAAAGUCCAAAAGUAAAAAUCUUGAAUUGAUGAAGGAAAGCUUCAAAGAAUUUACAAGUAAUUAAGAGAAGAUAUAUUGAACAAAGUUGCUGGGAUUUGGCCUGUUAAGUUGUUGAAACUCAAGUCCCUGCAAAAUAUAGAUAAAAAUUUUGGGAAAAAUAUAUAUCAAAAUGAAAAAAGGAAAGUGCCACUAUAUAAUUUAUUUCUUAAUAUCAACUUACAAUAUCUGUAACAUUUGAAGAUCUCCAAUUCUAGAUGGAAUUGUACCAGUGAUCAGAGCAUGUCUUAGGGACCUAUGGAGCAGAAGAACAAAAAACCAACUGAUAACUAAUCAGUUUCAAAAUGAAAAGGCUGCCAAACACAAUGAAAUAUAUAGGAAGUAUACUUACAAGUCAGUUAAGUUCUUCAAACUCAUUACGAAAUCAAGAGAUGAACUCACAUUAUAUAUAUCGCUGAUUCGUCUACAGAAUCAAUUCAAACAUCACGGAUAUGAUUCAUUCUUCCAGAGAGAGAAUGAGAGACCAAGAGACUGUCAGAAAAAGAUUUACUCACAAGGAUUCUAACGAAGCCAACUUAGACAAACUGGACGGAAUAGGACCUUGAAAAGAAUUCCCUUGAAAUCUCCUACAGCAACAUUUUGACAAACAUGUUAGGAAAGCUGUCAGAAGCCAAGCAAAAUCUUUAAUGCCCUACACAGAACACAGAGAAUGUAUAUAGUCAAGGAGUUUUUUGAAGCAUACAGGGACUUGAGCUUAGUCCAAUUGCCAAUGAAGUCAGGUAUUUUGCCUGUAAAAGGAGCGUCUGAUGCCCACCUGAAAUUUAACAAAUUAAUCAAUUUAGGCAGCAUAAUCUUUAUACAAGAGGAGAAACAAAAUGGCAUAUGUAAAAAACUUUGCUUACAGAGUUUGCAUACUACGAAGUUUAGCAAAUGUAGAGGGAAUUUCACCACCGGCCCCACAACUGUUUAUGUAACUGUUGAAUUUAUCAAUUGAAAAUUACUUUGUUUCAUAAACCUGCAGCUUUGCUAAAUUGAAAAAAAAAAUGAUAAUGAUCAAAUAUGUAAAAAGAAAGAAAGAAAUUUAGAAUCUACAGUUGCUCAAGUUUGGCUAAGUUGCCAAGUUCUGGAGGGAGUGUUCCUGAGAAAUCGUUGGUACCAAAAGAACUGCAAUUUGAAAUUAAAAGUUAUACACUGAUUUAAAAGAAGAAGAAGAAAAAAUUGUUGAAAAAGAAAUGCCAUCUUACAGAAUAGUUAAUUCCUUAAGGUUUCCUAGCUCCCUGGGGACAGGCCCCGAGAAUCCAUUGUGGGCAACUGACCUGUACACAAAAAUAUAGCACUGCAUUAGACAACACACAAAGAAUAAAUAAUUUGCAGCCUAAUCCAAAAAUCAAAUCAGAGAAUAUUAGAAAAAGCCAAUUUCAAUACUUACAGAAGCAUCAAUCGAGACAAAUUUCCAAUAAAUGAAGGCAAGGGGCCAGUGAAGAAAUUUUGAUCAAUUUUCCUACAAAAUUCAAAGAGAAGUUGUUAAUCGCGAUGAUUACGUAAAUUUGAUUUAUACAUACAAACUGAAUGGCAGAUAAAAUAUCUGAGUGAAAAAUCCAUACAGAAAUGUCAGGUACUGCAAAGUUACUAGUUCUUCAGGAAUCACCCCUUUUUUGUUUAGUGCAUAUACUCUCCUGUGACCAAAAAAAAAAAAAAAACAAACAAACCAAUCCAUUAGAUUGCAGCUGCAUCAGCGAUUUCAGAAAUUAAUAUUAAUUAACAAGCGCAGAGAUAUAUUAAGAGAGCAUUACAGUUUAGUAAUGUGGCAAGUAGCACCAUUGUCAAAGGUACAGUCACAAACAAUAGCAGGAUUGUUAUCUGGGCUCUCAAAUUCAGAAUCAGUUGCAUUUAGUGCAGAUCCACUGCAUGGCUCUCCACUUAUGUUCCAUAAUGGCACCGCCGGUGCAUCCCAUUGUUGCAGUAUUGAGUUCAGUGCCCUCACUGCUCAUCAAACACAUGCAUGCAUGGUAGCUUUGUUACCAAAUGAUAUCAUUUAAUUCCAUAAAUUCAUUAAUAUAUUGUGAUGCACCUGCACGCUUGUAAGCAAAACGCGGCUGAUUUUCAAAAGCAACGGCAAGCUGUUUGCUUUAAUUAGAGCACACGCAUGCUUCACCUGCGUGCUUGUCAUGCAUGCUGAUAGACGGUGGGCACAUAUAAAGAUAGAAGAAAUUGAAAGAAAACGAGAGAAAGAAAGAAAAGAAAAGAAGAGAUAAAAUAGAAAGGAGAAAAUAAAAGCAAAAGAGAAAGAAAAUAAAAGGAGAAAAGAAAUUAAGAAGCCAAGAGUGAAAAUCAAGUAAUAAUGGAAGCUAAUAAGGGAAAGUUACGGGGACAUGAAUUCAACAGUUACAUUUAUAUUUCGAGAAUUAGUGGAUAAUGGAUUUAGAAAGUAUGAACAGUUAUGUUAUAAUUUUUAGCAUACUUGUGAGUUUUUGAGUUUUUAUAUCAGUUGUAAAUUUUUUAUAGUAGGAUUUUAGUCCAAAUUUUAAAGUGUAGAAAAAGUCUGGAAAAUCUUUAAAAUUGUAUAGUUUUAAAGAAUUAUGAAAUUAAUACUUUAAAAUUGUAGGGUUUUAAAGUUUUGUCGGACUUUCUCGCACUUUAAAAUUUUGCAUUGAAAAUUUUUUAUAAUUUUUUAAUCUUGUGUUUAAAAGAAAUUCAAGUUUCUAGGAAUUAACAGAAGCCCCACAAAAAAAAACAGUAAUUGAGUCAGGAUUUGUGAGAUGAUUUAAUAGUAUGAUUUAGUAUCAUAUCAUGAUUAUAUGUAUGCUCAUUAUACGAUUGAUUGAGUCUGAUUGCCAAGCACCAUAUGUGUACUCUUCAUGUUAAGUGCUUUGUGUAUGCAUAUUGAGAGUUAAAGUACUCUACCUGUGUGAUGUAGUUAAAUUCCGUUUGAUAAUGAGAUGUUAUUCCUCUCUCUACUCACGCGAUAAUAAUCUCGAUGAGUGUUGCAAUUAUUUUCCCUGGGUAAUAUUUAGUGCAGUUUUCUCAUGUAUAAUUUCAUGUUUGCUUAUAUAUUAUGUUCAGUGCAGAAUUAUGUCAUAUGAUUGUGUAUAAUUAUUAAUGCACUACUUUAUUUUAAUAUAUAUAAUUAUAUCUACUCAUUGAGCUGCAAGUUCGCUAUUUUCUUAUUUAUCCAAUUUUUUCUAGGUUUUCGCAGGAUUUCAUACAGUUCAUUUUCCAUUAGUUGAGGUUGGGCCACGAUGUGCAGUGUUGCAUGACUUGCAUUUUAAGCACGUUUAUGCUCAUAUGUAUAUAUAUUUAAGAUAUAUGCAUACAUAGUGAGAUGUGAAGUGUGCAAGUUUCGAAUAUGUUUUCGGAUAAGGCAUAUAUGUUAUUAUAUAUUUUCACGUGAUUUGGAUUAGACCCAAUAGUUGGGUCGGGUGGGGUCGUAUCACACACACACUCAUGUAGUCGUUCUCUAGUGUGAGUGCCAUCAUUUUUUUCAUGCGGGCAUACUUUUAAACCAUGAUGUUUAAGAGAGUUAUGAUUUUUCACUCUUUUAAGCCGUACGGUUUAAAAGUUUAAAAGCAUGUCUGCAUUAAAAAAAAAAAAGAGAGAGAGUGCCUGCACUUGAGAAUGAUUAUGUAUAUAUUUGUAAUCAUUCUCAGGUUCGGGUGCUUUUUUUAUUUUUUAAUGUGGACACGCUGUUAAAUCGUACGAUUUAAUAACGUAUUUAGGGUUGGCAAAAACACGGGCUUGAAGCCCCGUCGACAUGAGUUGGGCCUGAUUAUGGGCUUAAAAAUACAAAGUCGGCACAUAUUGGACCUAGAUAAGGGCCUAGUUUUUUAAUUUAUAAAAAAUAAAUUAAAUUUAAAUAAAAACUCAAAAUAUUAAAUUAAUAUUUUUUUCAUAUUAGUAUUUGUGAUUAAUUAUGUUGUGUUAAUAAUAUUUUGUGUAUUAGACUAUUAUUCUAUUACUUAUUGGAUAAUUAUUUUUAAUUUAAAUAUUUUUUACUUUAUUAAAAAAUUAUUUUAUUUUUAAUGGAACAAGCCCAAGCCUGGCUCAGGGCUUGCCCGUCCAAACUUGGAAGGAUUUUUGAAGGGCCUGGGCUUGUUAUCUAUAAUAUGGGCUUGAGCCAAGGUUUGGAAAAGUCCGACACAAGUUCAUAUUUUGCCAACCUAAGCGUGUCUGCAUUGACUUUAUUAAACGUUUAAUAGUGUGUUCGCAUGAAAAAAAUGAGAGCCUCCACAUUAGAUAAGGAUUAUAUAUGUACACUUAUUAGAGUUAAUGCACUUUAGAUAUGAUUAUAUAUAAAAUCAAUGUCUUUUUUUUAUUAUUAUUAAUUAAAGAGUGAAUUUGUAGAACGAAUUUUAAAUUCGAAGAUUUUGAAUUCCUUCGUCUACGAUGUAAAAGUAUACACACAAUUAACAAUUUUGAUAAAAAUUGAAUUAAGAGUUUCUAGCAAAGAAUGCCAAAAUUCAGUCCUGCCUCUAAAUUAAUUAAGUUAUCGCCUUUUUUUUUUUUUUUGGACUUUUCGGGUGGGGGUGGGUGGCGUAUGGAAUGAACAUUUAUAUCAUGUACUGUUUGAGAUAUAAUUUGGGUUUAGAAUCACUCUUUUUCAGAAUGUUUCAACUCAUUUAUUAAGAAGGAUCCACAUGCUUGACUAAUAGGGGCUUGAAACCAGGCAGCGAAGAUGGUCCUUAAUUAUUGUAUGUAUCUAUGAUAUAUCUCAAUGUGAAAAUUUCAAUUAUUAUAAUUAUUAUAUUGAAAAAAAAAGUGAUCCCAUUAGAUGAAGAAAUCAUUGAAGUUAAAUAGUUAAAGGUCUUUAUAUAUGUAGCCUCGUUUGUUUGAAGUCUAAAGAGAUAAUAAUGUGAAAUAUAUGAUUUAGGAAAAAAAAUUGAAAUUGCACAGCUACUUUCACUUUUUGGAAACAGAAAAAGUCCACGAUUUUUUUUUUUAAAGAAUUAUACAAAUAUAAAAUUUUAGUCGAAGUUAAAAGAAUAACAUCUCUAAUUGGACAAAAUGAAACACACAUAUUUAUAUCCUGGUUAAGAAUUCAGUUUUAAUUUAUGUUUUUGCUAAACAAUGAACCAAUGGUUAUUAGGCAAAUAUUUAUAUAUAUAAUUCUGAUCACGACUCAGUAUGAAAAAAAAAAAUUCAAUAUAUAUAUAAUUCUGAUCAUGACUCAGUAUAAAAAAAAAAAUUCAAUUCAGUAUUAAAUCCUAAUCUCUAUAUCCGUACGGGUUAUAUUGAUGAUAUUGGGAUGAAUAUAUUUUAUUGAAACAGAAGUUAUAGACCUAACAUCCCUGACUGUACAGUAAUGAACUCUAUAUUACUACACUGCUAGCUUAAUUAUCAUCUAACACUGUAAUUUUAAAUAACGAACUAAAGCUUCAUAUAUUUUAGCUACUGGCUAGGUUUCUGACUUUCUGCAGCUCACUGUGUAUAUAAAGUUAAUUGUUUUCAGAAAAGAAUCAGGCUACUGCACAUACACAUAAUUAAUUUAUGUCAAAUUAAACAAAGAAAAGAAAAAAGAAUAAAAAAAGAAAAGAAAAGAAAACGGCGGGCGGUGGCUGGCUAGCAAGAGAAUUAAUUAACGAGAAGAAAUUAAAUGAGUUAAAGAAAAUGGAUAUACAUACCUUCAGCAGGGUCAGUCGUAGCAGUGGUGUUAUUUUGAGCGUUGGAUAAACAAAUUAGCAGGAAGAGAUGAGCGAAUAGUAGUGAGGAAGAAAGCAGCAGCUUCAACGAUCCCACUCCAAAAUUCAUCUUCAUUUCUCGUUACAAUUUACAAACCCAGAAUAAGGAGAAUUUAAUGCUAAUUUUUGAAUCUAUAGUUUUGUUGAAGUUAAAGAAUAUGUAGAAGAAGAAGCUGGCCAGAGUCGGUCAAUAUUUGUUUUUUUUUGUUUUUUCAGUGGUGCAUGCAUUUUAAGUCGUUCCAUCUAUCAAAGAAAAGUCGUUCAAAAACAAAAUAAAAAAUAAAAUGUAUCAGAAUUGACCAAAUUCAACUCUCAUAUGUGCAUAAUAAAAACAAUAUAAUACAUUGCAUCUUAACCAAUACGAUGAAAUCUUAGUGUCUCUUUCCCCACCCUCACCAGAUUAUUAUUAUCCACAGCACUUUUGCUGACGCAAACUCAACAUAAAAUUGUAUCAACAUAUUCAAUUUAGAAGAACGCAGAGUAUUACUCCCAGGGACACAGUACAUCUGUACACACCCAGCGCAGAAGAGGGGAAAAACAAUAUCUGCACAUGCUGAAGAAGCAAAGCAAUGAAUUAAUCAGAGUCUAGACGUUGGCUGAAUUGUCAGGCUUGAAUUUAGUAGCAGCAGCAGCAGGAGGGGAUGGGUAAGUGAAUGUAGUAGCUUCACUGCCUGUGCCUGGCUGUCAAGGAAGCUCAUAUUUGCAAGAUGGUCAGUAGAGCAGAGGAUCACAGCAGCAGCCACAUUCAGUUACGAGUUGAUGACAUGGCAUGCCAGCUGGAGCCUGGUGGUUAUGUAAAUAGUUGUGCAUGUGUUAAUUAGCUUAAGCUGAUAUGAUUAGUUGUCAGAAUUAGUUAAUUAGCUGUAGCUAAUUACAACUAUUUGAGCUGAGCUUCAACUUAGUAUAAAUAACAACAACAUUGUACAUAUUAUUAAUAACAUGAUUAAUGAAAAUGAUGUUCUAGAAAACUCUUAGAUUCAGUUCUUAUUUUCUCACUGAUUUUCUCAGUUGCCAAAAAAUAUUUUCGUUCUUCAACUUGGUAUCAGAGCUAGUAGCAAUGGCUUCAGUCCAUCUAGCUUCUUUUUCUUCUCAAGCGCCAGUCAAUCACACAACUGUUAACUCAACAAAUGUGACAUUUACUUUCAAUACACCUAUUGAGUUAGAUCAAUCCAAUUAUUUGAUUUGGCGAUCUCAAGUUCUUGCUUUAAUUUGUGGCAACAGACUUGAGAAAUUCAUUGAUGACUCAACCACUCCACCUCCUUCACAUAUUGCUAAAAGAAUUAGAGAUGAUAUGAGAUUUGUAGAGAAUCUAGACUUUAUAACUUGGAGAUCACAAGAUCAAGUGCUUCUUGGCUGGUUGCUUUCUUCAAUGAGUGAAGGUAUCAUUAGUCUAGUCUUCAAUCUAGAGACUUCUCGUGAGGUAUGGAAAGAUAUUGAAGUUCAGUUUGGAUCACAAUCUAAAUCUAGGCUUCUGCACUUGAGAUAUAUGAUGAACUCAACUAGGAAAGAUGAUCUAAAAAUUACUAAUUAUUUCAUUAAGAUGAAAAAUAUUGUUGAUAAUAUGGCUGCAGCAGGAAAUGCAUUAAGUGAUGAUGAUUUAAUUCUGCAUAUACUCUUUGGCUUAGUCCAGAUUAUAACUCUGUUGCUACCUACAUUACUGGACAAGUAAGAGUGGGGAAAAUGAAUGUAAACGAAGCUUAUGCUAUGCUCCUAACUCAAGAAGUUAGGAUUGAACAACAAACUUAUAUGCUGGCUAAUACAGAUGUGAAACAAAAUUUUGAGGCUAAUCUUGCUCACAAUAGAGGUUAUAAAAGGGGAAAUAUGUCAGGAGGAAAAGGUUUUGGUGGCUUUGGAUAUAAUUCUAGCUAUGGAAACAUUAACAGUGCUAGCUAUAAAGGAGGUUAUGGAGGCUCUGGAUUUAAUGCUAACAGUGGAAAUGCUUAUGGCACCAAUCAUCAGUUCAAAGCUUAUCAAGGAGAUAAUCAGAGAGGUGGAGGAGGAGGUAACUGGAAUCAAAAUGCUUGAAAUAGUGGAUUUAACAAUAGUAGACCACCUGGAAACAUUAAACCUCAGUGGAAUGUCUCUAAGCCAACCUGUCAAAUCUGUUUCAGAAUAGGUCACACUGUUAAUAUUUGCUAGAAACUUGAAGAGUUUAUUGCAUCUGGAGCUUACAGACCACCACCAAAUAGAAAUCCAAAAUCUACAUAUUUGGCUAAUAUGGAGGGACCUGCUGAUGCAAAUUAGUAUCUGGAUAGUGGUGCAACACACCAUCUGACAAAUGACAUCAACAAUAUGCAUGUUUCUAAAGCUUUUGUAGGUACAUCUAAACUUUUUGUUGGCAAUGGUGCUGGAUUAAAUAUAACACAUAUUGGAAGUGCUGCAUCGAAAUCAUAUAACUCCAAUAAUGCCUCCUUAACUCUUAAACUAAAUGAUAUCCUUUUAGUGCCACAAAUUACUAAAAACCUCAUUAGCAUCUCUAAGCUCACAAAAGAUAAUGAUGUUGUGAUAGAGUUUACUGAUAACUUUUGUUUUGUGAAGGACAAGGUGAGGAAUUUGAUCAUACUGCAGGGCAAGGCUGAAAAACGUUUAUACAAAUUGCUAUUGGUUUCAUCUAAUAAGAUAGUCUCUUCUACUUCUAAUCAAAGCUAUGUUGUUGAGUUAAUUGUAUCAACCACUCCUCUUUCAAUGUUUUCAGUUGUCUAUUCUACUCUUUCAAAUAACACCUCUUGCCUGUAUACUGCAGCAACUUCCUGUAAAAUUUGAGUGUCUGUUAAGUACAUCUGUACUGCAUCAAAGAUUGGGAUAUCUAUCUUCUAAGAUCUUGAAUCAUGUAAUCAAAUCAUGUUCAUCUCUCAAUCUUGUCAAUAAGAAUAAAACCUUUUAUUUAUGUGAUGCUUGUAAAAUAGGAAAAAUGCACAAGCUUCAUUUUCGAGCUACUGAUAUCAAAAUAAAGUCUCCCCUGGAAAUAUUACAUACUGAUUUAUGGGGACCAGCCCCUGUGAUUUCAUUAUAAGGCUACGUAUAUUAUGUAAGCUUUGUUGAUGAUUUCACAAGAUUUACUUGGAUAUUUCCUUUGAAAACCAAAAGUAAAACAUUGUCAGUCUUUAAAAUUUUCAAAAACCAAAUUGAAAAACAACUUGACAGACCUAUAAAAUGUCUUCAAUCAGACUGGGGUGGAGAAUUUAGAUCUUUUGUUAACUUUCUUCACACUGAGGGAAUUCACUUUAGACAUUCAUGUUCAUAUACUCAUAACAAAAAUGGAAUAGUAGAGAGAAAUCAUAGACAUAUUACUGAACUUGUCUUACUCUACUUGCACAAGCAACUUUACCUAUUAAAUUCUAGUGGGAUUCUUUCCAUACAGCCACAUACAUCAUAAACAGAUUACCCACCCCAAUUCUAUCAAUGAAAUCUCCUUAUGAAUCUAUUUAUCAUCUUCCUCCAGAUUACAAAUUCUUAAGAACAUAUGGAUGUUCAUGUUUUCCCUUUCUCAGAAACUACAAUCAACACAAGUUUCACUCUCAUACAUCUAAAUGUAUUUUCCUAGGGUAUAGUCCUUUGCAUAAGGGUUACAAAUGUCUCAAUCCCUCUGGUAAAAUCUAUAUAGCUAGUCAUGUUAUUUUUUUAUGAAACCUCAUUUCCAUAUUCAUCUAUUUUCAGCUCAUAUUCUCCAUCCAAAUCUUCUGAAUUUCAAUACAAUCUUCUUCAACAGUAUAUCAUUCAUGUUUCCAAUAGCAAUUUAAACACCUUUGAAGUUGAUACUGUAGAUAAUGAUACAUAUUCUCAUCACCUUCAUACCAUAUCUUCACCACCCUCUCACAAUACAUCAUCUCAACCCUCACCACUUGCUACUUUAUCCCAUUCAGCCAUAACUUCUUCACCAACUCAACCAAUUCCCUUUAUACCUCUAACUGAUACAACACAAAAUACAUCAUCCUUACAACCCAUCAUAUCUCACUCUCAAAUUCAACCAACACACUUAUCUAAACCUAAACCAAUUCUCUCCACACAUAAAAUGAUCACUAGAGCAGAGGCUGGGAUAUUCAAACCGAAAGCCUACUUAACAAAUAACAACAGCCUGGAACCAUCUACUGUUUCAGAAGCAUUAUUUGAUCCCAAAUGGAAAGCAGCAAUGCAAACUGAAUAUAAUGAUAUGAUUAAAAACAAAACUUGGAAUCUUGUGGCUUUGUGCUCAUCCUAUAAACUAGUUGGGUGCAAAUGGGUGUUCAGAACCAAGUACAUCAUAGAUGGCUCAGUUUCAAAAUAUAAAGCUAGGUUGGUAGCCAAGAGAUUUCAUCAAACUACAUGUAUUGAUUAUUCAGAAACAUUCAGUCCUGUAGUGAAGUCCUCAACAAUGAGAUUAAUUCUUAGCCUAGCUGUCAUGAAAGGUUAGACAAAUUGAUGUCAAUAAUGCCUUUUUAAAUGGGGAUUUGUCAGAGGAUAUGUAUAUAAUUCAGCUUGAGGGUUUUGUAUCCAAAGAAGGCUACAUAUUCAAGCUUAACAAGGCACUAGAUGGAUUGAAACAAGCUCCAAGAGCUUGGUAUGAUAAACUGAAAAGCUGUCUUACUACUUGGAAAUUCUUCAAUUCUAAAGCUGACACAUCUCUCUUUGUUAAACAUGAUGAAAAAGGCAUUAUUAUUGUCUUAAUCUAUGUUGAUGAUAUUUUGGUUACUAGCCCUGACUCAGCAUUACUUGAAGAUUUCAUUAUUAAACUCAGUAAGGUUUUUGCUCUCAAGGACUUGGGAUUAGUGGCCUAUUUUCUUGGAGUAGAAGUUUGUUACACAACUCAUGGAAUGCAUCUUUCACAGACAAAAUAUAUUAAGGAUUUGUUAAAUAAAGCCUCAAUGCAAAAUUGCAAAGGAUCAGAUACACCUUUUAGUACUGGUUUCAAAUUGGAGAAAAAUAUUAAGGGUCCAUUUGGGCAAGAAUUUGAAGAACCAGCACUUUAUGGAAGCAUCAUUGGGGGACUUCAGUACUUAAUUCUCACCAGGCCUGACAUUGCAUAUUCUGUACAUAAACUCAACCAGUAUCUUAGCAAUCUUACACUCCAGCACUGGUUAGCAUGCAAGAAAGUUCUCAGGUAUCUUCAAGCUACAACCACUCAUGGUUUAUACAUUCAAAAUGAGGGAACACUUGGAAUUGCAGGUCUAACAGGUUACUCUGAUGCUAACUUGGCACGUGAUGUUGAUGAUCAAAAUCUAUUGGAGCUUACUGUAUUUACCUUGGUAAUAAUCUGAUUUCCUGGUCAUCAAAGAAGCAAGUUAUUGCAGCUAAGUCCAGCACAGAGAGUGAAUACAGGGCACUAUCUUCAGCAAGUUCAGAACUCUCUUGGUUGCAAUCCCUACUAUCAGAGCUUAAUAUUGUGCAAUUACCAACUCCAAUUCUUUGGUGUGACAAUCAGAGUGCUGGAGAAUUAGCCCGAAAUCAUAUUCUUCACUCUAAAUCUAAACACAUUGAAUUGGGUGUUCAUUACAUUAGAGACAAAGCGCUUGGAAAAGAAUUAGAAGUAAAAUACAUUCCUACUGAAGAACAAGUUGUUGAUGUCCUUACUAAAGCUCUGUCAUUUAUCAAGUUUAACUACUUUUGAUUCAAGCUCAAUGUCAUCAACAGGCCAUUGAGCUUGAGGGGAGGAUGUGAAGGAAGCUCAUAUUUGCAAGAUGGUCAGCAGAGCAGAGGAUCACAGCAGCAGCCAUAUUCAGUUACGAGUUGAUGACAUGGCAUGCCAGCUAGAGCCUGGUGGUUAUGUAAAUAGUUGUGCAUGUGUUAAUUAGCUUAAGCUGUUAUGAUUAGUUGCUAGAAUUAGUUAAUUAGCUGUAGCUAAUUACAACUAUCUGAGUUGAGCUUCAGCUUAGUAUAAAUAGCAACAGCAUUGUACAUAUUAUUAAUAACGUGAUUAAUGAAAAUGAUGUUCUAGAAAACCCUUAGAUUCAGUUCUAAUUUUCUCACUGAUUUUCUCUGUUGCCAAACAAUAUUUUCGUUCUUCUAACUCUGGCGGAGGCGCUGGCACCCCAAAAACUUGUGGAUUGGUUCUGAUAUCUUGUCUUCCUCUAGCUCUUCCCAAGUAAAAGCACCCAAAUCCAAGCAAUAGGCUGAACAACAUCAACGGAAUGAUAUCACCACCACCAUACCCAUCUUUAUUUGAUUUGAUGAUCAGAAAUCGCAGCAGAAGAGAGGUUUAUAUAAGAAUAAGAGAAUGAGAGAGAGCUAUGAAUGAACUAUGAUGAUGAUGAUGACGAUGAUACGGAGGUUUCGGAUUCUCUCUUCUUUUAAGAACAUGUUUCUUUCUUAACGGUUGGCUUAACGUUCAAGCUCUAACGGUUACUUUUAUUGUUGGGCCAGUUAAAUAAUUCUCCUAAUACAAAACAAGGUUAAAUAAAUAUUGAGAUGGCUAUUCAUCCCGCAAUUAUAAAGGUAUAGUAUUUUGUUCAUUCUUGUUUAAAAAAAAAAAAAAAAGACUCUAUAGAGUUCAAUGUAUGGAGCCUUCUCAUGGUGUUCGGAUUCAACAUGUGCCAAAGUCCUCUAAUCAGCCGACCCAUUUUCUAUCUAAACUAACUUUUAACUGAAAGCUAUGAUUUCAUAAUUUUUAAACCAGUGUACUGGAAAAUGAAGCGAAAAAGAAGAUGGAAAGAUGAAGAAUAAUAAUACAACAUGCUUGUUACCUCAAUACAUUAAUAAGGGUAAUUAACGGUCUACAAAUACAUUUUGUUUAUUAUUUUGAGGACUUGUUUCAUUUUAUUUACGUGCAUUGAUGUCUUCCCAAAAUCAGAAGUUUUUAAUGAACUUCGAGAAUGUUGCCUGCCACUCGUCGUCAUAGAACAGUAUUUCGUGCUGCACAUAUGCAUGUACUGUAAUUGCUAGAAAUAGCUCGACGGGAGAAAUUUAAGGCACCAUAAGAAGCAGAUCAUUCCACCGGCACAAGGCUGCUUUUGUUUCAGAAGCUGGCAAAUAGUGGAUCAUAGCCGCGACGCGACAAAAUUAUUUCUCACCUCCCUUCUGCUAAAAUAUCAGUUAGCUGUGUGACAUUUACCGGGGAGACUAAUGCAUCAGUUCCUUCACUGUGAUCAUCAACUGGAUUUUCUCUUUGGCUUUUCUCCUUGCUGUUACGUCUUUUAAUAGAUGAUGAAGGCGUUGGCGUGUCUUCUUUCAAAAAGCUUGCUGUUAUAUCUUUAAAAUCCCAAUCUGUCAAAUAACUUGGCUUUGAAAUAACCGAGCCAACUUCUAUAUCCCCAGCAAGCAUGGCCACAACGCGUGACAUUGGUGGCCUCAUCAUUGGCGAUGCUUGAGUGCACAAGAGAGCUACUCCUAUCACUCGAAGAGCUUCCAUGUCGUUAAACUCUGUUAAUGUAGGAUCUACAAGCCCCAAACUUUGAUUAUUUUCAUGGAGAUUCCAGGCCUAGAAACAUCAUAUAGACAAUAAUUCAGUUAAAGAUUUAAAGAAUUAACUUUCCUUUAACCAGAACAAUGCAGAUAUAAGAAAGGAAAGAAUGCAGAAUGAAGUUCAAGAUUAUUUUCUUCACCCAUUCGAGAAGAUAAAUCUUUUCCGUAUCCAAGCUGUUGUCGGAGUUUGCUCUUCCACUGAUGAUCUCCAACGCAACAACGCCAAAACUGAAAACAUCGGCCUUCUCUGUCAAGUGUCCGCGCAUUGCAUACUCCGGUGCCAAAUAGCCACUACAAGAUCAAUAGUUACCGAUCAAAAUCUCCAAACUCCAUUGUAUCCAAAAAUUGGAAGAUAAGGCCUGUAUGGAAUUAUCAUUUUUGGAAGAAUGGUAAGAAGAAAUGUUAAAGGAGAUUACACGGUCCCUGCAACUCUUGUGCUGAUGUGGGUUUUCUUGUCAUCAUACAGCUUUGCCAAUCCAAAAUCCGAUAUCUUGGGGCAGAGCUCUGCAUCAAGUAAAAUAUUACUUGCUUUGACAUCUCGAUGUACAAUCCUGGGCCUGGAAUCUUCGUGAAGAUAAGCCAGCCCUCUUGCUGUUCCCAAGCAUAUGCUGAACCUGGUAGGCCAAUCCAGAUGCAAUUCAUUGUCUCCUGCAGAAAUGUUGGCUGCAGUGGUUAGAAAUUUAUGGAGUUACAGAAGGACAAAAUUGAUAACUCUAGGAUAAUUUAUCUGCAUGAGAUCUCACUGAGACAUUGUCAAUCAGCUUUAGGAUAGUGAUUGUGGCUAAUUUGCAGUUAUGGACAUUGUCUAAACAAUAGAUUUUGGAUUUAAGAUUACAAAAUAGAUCAUGCAAUUUCCAAAAGUCGGUGACUCAGCACUUUCUUCUUUGAAUUCUUUGCCUCAGCAACCAAGCUAAAACAUGGUGUUUGCGCUAUUUUCUACUACUUAUUAGUAGUAAGAUGAAUUGAUUAUCAUACCGAACAAUACUUGAUCGAGGCUUUUGUUUUCAAGAUACUCAUAAACAAGGAGGCGCCUGGCUCCUUCAAUGCAGAAUCCAUACAAUCUCACAAGACUGCGAUGUUGCACUGCAGAUAUGGUUGUAAUCUCAUUUACAAAUUGAUUCUUCCCUUGGUGAGAUGCUAUUGAAAGUUGCUUCACAGCUAUUACUCUUCCGUCAGAUAGAGUACCCUGUCAAGUGCAACAUUUAGCAAUUUGAAAAAUAUCCACUAUAUCCCAGUGAAAAUUGGAAAGCAUCAACUAAGUUUUCUAGUUGCAAUGUCAGGCUAUGAUCACGGAUUAAAAGUACUACAUGGCAAAGCCAGCGUGCAAGAAAACUGUCAAUUGGCUGUAAUCUUAAUAUAUAUAUAGUUACCUUGUACACAGGUCCAUAUCCUCCCUCUCCAAGCUUGUUUGAUGGGUCAAAAUCUUUUGUUGCAGAUCUCAACUCAGCAUAGCUGAAAGUGUUUGGUUUAGAUUCUAUCCCAACUAGCACUGCGGGCUCAACCAAGACAAAAAUUAGGGACAAUAGCAUAGGAUGGGAUACCACAACGGUUUGCGGAUAUCAAGAUCCCCAAAUAAUGAAGGAUUUAUAUGACAAAAGAUGAAUUAAGCAGAACAUUUACCAAUAUCAAAUUACAAAUUCAUUGAGUUUCAUGAACAAGCUUGCUACAACUACUAUUACAUAUUGUUAAAUUGUCAAUGGACUCUUAUUACCUUCCUCAUCAUCGUUGUCUUUUUUUCUCCGCAUGUAGAACACUAUAGAUAUCACUAUCAAGCCCAAAAUUCCAAGAGGUACUGCAAUACCAACAAUCAUUCCUGUGUGGUUCUUAUUCCCCGGAGUACCUGGGGGUAAUCCACUUACAGAUGGUUUGAAAGCUGAGAAGUAAAAACUCAGUUAUUAGGAGCAAAGAAGCAUGUAAGCCAUUUUAUUUAUUAUAUUCCAUCUUAAAUGAAGAUUCACAGGAAUCAUAUGCUUUACCUGAAACGGCACUGAGAGCUGAAAUUGCUGGUCCAUAAUCACCUUGAGUAGGUACGCAGCAGGUCCCUUUACCAGCCCAUAAUAGGUGAAUUUCAAGAUGGUUUUCUGACACAGCGGCAUUGAAAUUCUUUAUAAUAGCUCUGUUAGGCCCUCCCGCCUCCUUUGAUAUGUCAAAAUCCUUCCACCGGAGAGUUCCCU